This 868-nucleotide ribosomal RNA is filed under the name Mycobacterium sp. STR-18. RNAcentral's name for it is "bacterial SSU rRNA". It matches the Rfam family "Bacterial small subunit ribosomal RNA", at positions 78 to 959 of the family's 1533-position model. Lineage: Bacteria; Bacillati; Actinomycetota; Actinomycetes; Mycobacteriales; Mycobacteriaceae. The record is from RNAcentral.
CUUCGGGGGUACUCGAGUGGCGAACGGGUGAGUAACACGUGGGUAAUCUGCCCUGCACUUCGGGAUAAGCCUGGGAAACUGGGUCUAAUACCGAAUAGGACCAUUUGGCGCAUGCCUUAUGGUGGAAAGCUUUUGCGGUGUGGGAUGGGCCCGCGGCCUAUCAGCUUGUUGGUGGGGUGACGGCCUACCAAGGCGACGACGGGUAGCCGGCCUGAGAGGGUGUCCGGCCACACUGGGACUGAGAUACGGCCCAGACUCCUACGGGAGGCAGCAGUGGGGAAUAUUGCACAAUGGGCGCAAGCCUGAUGCAGCGACGCCGCGUGGGGGAUGACGGCCUUCGGGUUGUAAACCUCUUUCAGCAGGGACGAAGCGCAAGUGACGGUACCUGCAGAAGAAGCACCGGCCAACUACGUGCCAGCAGCCGCGGUAAUACGUAGGGUGCGAGCGUUGUCCGGAAUUACUGGGCGUAAAGAGCUCGUAGGUGGUUUGUCGCGUUGUUCGUGAAAACCGAGGGCUUAACCCUCGGCGUGCGGGCGAUACGGGCAGACUGGAGUACUGCAGGGGAGACUGGAAUUCCUGGUGUAGCGGUGGAAUGCGCAGAUAUCAGGAGGAACACCGGUGGCGAAGGCGGGUCUCUGGGCAGUAACUGACGCUGAGGAGCGAAAGCGUGGGGAGCGAACAGGAUUAGAUACCCUGGUAGUCCACGCCGUAAACGGUGGGUACUAGGUGUGGGUUUCCUUCCUUGGAAUCCGUGCCGUAGCUAACGCAUUAAGUACCCCGCCUGGGGAGUACGGCCGCAAGGCUAAAACUCAAAGGAAUUGACGGGGGCCCGCACAAGCGGCGGAGCAUGUGGAUUAAUUCGAUGCAA